CAGCAUGCACCGGGGCUUCUCGCCGUCGACUUCCUGCCGUCGCUUCUUCUUCGUCUGGUUUGUUGACAAACUCCAACGACAGUGAGAGCGGCGUCUGCCGCCGCCUACCGGAGUUCCCUCUCGGCAGGGAUCUCCCUUUGGCAGCUGCCGUGCCCCUCCGGCGACGUGGACGCGUGGCCGGACAGGACGCCCCGCCUCUCCACCCAUCCACCUUAUCGACCCGCCGCACAGCACUGGUGCGGGGGCUGCCUGCGACCUGAUACCUCACAUCGCCGCGGAGAAGUCGGUCCCGGCUGAGAUAGAGCUCCCCACCUCUGCUGUGCCCGUGGCUAUACCCCGGAGUUAUCACGCACCAGAUGCUCAGCGGUUGCAUAAUGCACACAGGAUGUGAUCACUGGCUCCAUAUCUGACGGUGCAGCACCGCAGAGCUCGGCGUGCUCUUUUGACAGGUGCUGUAGUAGCAAUUUUCGUGGUACUUUGUGUUUUGAGCUGUCAAUUUUGUGUGCGAGAGGGAAUGUUUUCAUGCUUGUUUUACACCCAAAGAUGAACCAAAACCCCCCAACAAAACCCCCCAAAUAUUCUUAAGCCUUUUCAGCCCACGAACCGAACAGAAGCAAUUUCGUCUCACCCUGAACCCCGGUCUCAUUAAAACACAACUCGUUU
Molecule: long non-coding RNA, 663 nt
Filed under: Scophthalmus maximus (turbot)
Lineage: Eukaryota; Metazoa; Chordata; Actinopteri; Pleuronectiformes; Scophthalmidae
Description: lncRNA (ENSSMAG00000030757.1)
Source: RNAcentral